AGGGGGUAGAUUCAUGAGGGAGAUAUCUUCUAAGACAGGCAAACAGGUAGACCUCUAUAAGUAGAGCCUGGGAGGAUUCUUUUUUUUAAAACUGCUAUUCCCAGAAUCCCCCAACCAGGAUGGCCAGUAGUUAACCCCCCCCCCCCCCCCCGUGGUGCUAAAAGGCAGAAAAUGUUAUAUGUCUUCUGCCUACUGUCUCUGCACUCAGAUAUCAGGUAACUGGGCAACAGAAGGAAACAGAAAAGACUCAAAUUCACAAUAAAAUAUGACCAAAUAAAUGUUAUUCCAAACUCAAGGGAAAAUUGAGACAUGGGGAAUCAAAUUCACAGUAUUAAAGAAGACCUAAUGACACAUCUAGUGGACUUCUUACCACGAGGGCAACACAUCCAGCCUUAGUUUUACAGGCGCUCCACCAACAGCUAUUGUGGAUUGUAUGGGAGUCAUCCAGUUGGAUCAAACUCCUGACAGAGGUUCAGUGUCAUUUCCUGCAGUUGUUGGUGGUUGGGAUAGUGGGAUGCCUAAUAAUUGGGGGUGGUUAUUAUAGGAUCAUGACGAGCAGAGUGAUGAUGCUUCAAAAUGUAUGGAAGAGGUUAAUCUUCCUUCUAGUUCUAAAGGGCAGAGUAAUCUGUAUGUAAGAACUUACAGGUGGCAGCGAUAAGGGUAGAGGCCCGCAGAGACAGGAUGAAGUUAAGAUUAGCUGCAUAAAAAGAACAUAGCAGAGGCUGCUCUCUGCGAGAAAAGUAUCUGUUAGGCUUAUCUGUGGAUGGUGGUGGUUUUCUCCACAGGUUGUGUGGAUUGUGGUAUCCUGACCUGUAUUGUGAACUUUGGACCCUGUUGCUUCUGACUCUUCGUGACCUCAUGGACCAUCUCAGGCCAGAGCUCCCUGUUGGCCGUGGACACCCCCAGCUCCUUCAAGGUCAAGCCAAUCACUUCAAGGAUACCAUCCAUCCAUCCAUCCUGCCCUUGUUCCCAGAAAAUUCUGCCAGUAUGGCCAAUGAUGCGGGAUUCUGGGAGAUGAAGUCCAGAAAAAGGAGGAGAAGGAGAAGAAGAAGAGGAGUCAUAUGGAAGACUGAUAUGGAUGUAUUAAGAAAUAUAUAAACACACACAUAUAUGUAUAAGCACACUGAAAUAUAGGAAAUUAGAUUUUAGAUGCAGUAGCUAGAAGACAAAGGAAUGUCCAAGUGGUCUGUUACAUGCAAAGGCAAAGGAAUUAUCUAUUAUCUGUAAAUUCCAAGUACCAGGGAACAGGCUGACACUGAAUCCACUGGAAGGAAAGUGGUAGGGUCUAUUGAUGGAUGAGCUGAAAAUGUUUAACCGUGCUUUAAAAAGGACCAAUGUAUGUACCAUAUGUUGAGAGGGUCAAAUAUUAUCUCUGUGAUGUAGAGCUGACUACGCAUGUAGCUUUGCCUGCUUGUAACUGAGGAAUGUAUAGAAGAGAAUUGCCUUUGUUUGGAGUUCUGACUUUUGGAACAGAUUUCCAUCAGAGUCUCCAGUUGGUAAAUAAACUUUUUUUUCAAGUCUCAAAGAAAGGUUUCUCUCUCUCCAUCCACUUCAAGACUACUGGGAACAAUUGUGUAAUGCCAAAUCACUCAAACAAUGGACCGUUAACACAAAUGCUUUUAGAGUUUUGUUUCCCAUGCAGAGAAAUGUUUGCGAUUUUGUGAGGGCAAGAACCAUUUUUGUGACAGCAGGAAGAGCAAUGGCAAUAAUUGGCAGAACCCAUUCAUUCACUGCACUUGUACAAGGCCAUCAGAGGAAGAGCAGACCACCAAAGUUCAUCUUCUGUUUGAAUCUGACUAUCCAAUGCUGCCUGUGAUUUCACUACCUAAGAAGCUUCCCUGGAAAGGCACAGAUGACUUCACAAGCCACCAAAGUGCAUUAGGUAUAAAAGUUCGUCAGAGUCGGACACCGAAGAGAUAGGCAGUUCUGAAUAGAACUGGUCUCUGCUGGGAGCUGCAUAUCAGGAAAUUUGUUAUAACACCAUCAGUAGGACAUCUGUUACACGAAAACGGAAUAGGAUGUCAGGCAUGGUUUGCUUCAUUAGAUAGCACAACUACCAAUCCUGCCUCAGAGAUCUAGGACAUUAUUGCACAAAGCAGUCAAAAUGGCACUGAAACUCAACUGUUGCCUUUUGUGAUGGUCCCUGUGUGCAUCCUACUGCCGGCCUGCCUCCGUCCCAGCAAUUAACCUGUCCCUCAUUAUUGAUGGGUACAACCCAUUGACAGCUCCCAAUAAUGCAGAGCUCCCGUCACCUACUUUGGUGAAAUGGGUCUGGUCCACUUCUGUGUCUGCAUGCUGGCAGUAAAGUGAUGUCAGGGAGUGGGAUUCUCCUCUUCUCCCUUUCAAUUCCCAAGAUGUCUGUUUUCUGCUCAUUUUAUAUUUCAUAGUUGUUUGCCCUUUUUUGGGUUUUCAAAGUUCAUUUUGAAAUUGCUCUAGAACAUUACAGAAAAGCAGAAUUGUGAUCAUGGAACCACGAAUUGGUGGAUGUGUGUAAUUGCGUGAAAAACAAGAGGUGUGAUAUUGAAAAUGCUCAUCUCAGUAUGUACCUGCUAGCAGUCAAAUCAUGACUGCUGUGGACUGGCAGCACAAAACAAGAAUCACUCAGGUUCAUAUAACUCUCUGCUCUCAGCCUCUCUAGUUGCUCAGGAAAUUGCAAAACCUGUUAGUUAUUUGCCUGCUCAUCCAAGCUGCCUCCAUCCAAUUUCAGUAUUACUUCUCCCACUGUAGCACCCUAUGCCAGCUUUCACACUUUCCAGUGGAUCUAAACAGCAGAGGGACAACAGCAAGAUAAAUAGGAUGUAACCUUUAAGAUACCUUUUAUUCAUUUGUUUGUCUUGUAGAACUAUGUCCUGCUUUUUCUUAAACUGAAGCCCUCAAAGUGAUGCACAACAUUAAUAAAAUGGUCAACCAAAUUAAGAACUAGGAUUUCUUCUUACAGUGUAAUUGGUGUGAUUCAGAACAUGGCUUGGAACAAAGGGAGGAAUAGCUCCUAAUAGAGCAUGUACAGGUGUCUUGAAGCUGGGGCAGUGCGUAUGAUGUUACCAUAUGGUAUGUUUUAUGAUGUAUUUUAUCUGGUGAUCUUCAGAUGUCAAUGAUAUAUCUCUCUACAAAAGACAAAAUAAAGAUACAUGUUCCACGAUAGCUCCUAAAUGUCUUGAUAGAUCUGGACCAAACAUGGUACUUGGAAUUGAUUGAGAAUGAUGGAAGUUGUAGUCCACCCACAUCAAGAUAGCCAUGUCAGUACCACUGAUGAUGGAUCUGGAUCAAACUUGGCACACAUACCCAUCAUGACCAAUUUAAAAUACUGGUGGGGUCUUAGGGGCAAUGACAGAGGAUAACAGCAGUUGCAGUUCUUACUUACUUACUUACUUACUUACUUAGGCAAUAUCCCGUUGUCCGAGUAUGAUGGCCUUCCAAGUAUAGUGUCUUGGCGGUAGAUACGUAGGUGACUGUGGAGCCCUAUUCUUGACUUGCAUGUUCUUCCACAGUGAGGACAUUGGUUUUCAGAUGGAAAGAGGUCCCGGUCAGGGCUGGCUUUGACGCACCUUCCUCUUGGCACGUUUUUUCUUUUCACCCUCCAUUUGUGCUUCUUCAAAUUCCACAGCACUGCUGGUCACGGCUGACCUCCAGAUAGAGCACUCAAGGGCCAGGGCUUCCCAGUUCUUGGUGUCUAUGCCAGAGUUUUUGAGGUUAUCUUUAAGCCCAUCUUUAAAUCUCUUUUCCUGUCCACCAACAUUCUGUUUUCCGUUCUUGAGUUGGGAGUAGAGUAACUGCUUUGGGAGAUGGUGAUCGGGCAUUGGGACAACGCAGCCAGACCAGCGGAGUUGAUGGCAUAGGAGCAUCGCUUCAAUGCUGGUGGUCUUUGCUUCUUCCAACAUGCUAACAUUUGUCUGCCUUUCUUCCUAAGAUAUUUGAAGGAUUUUAUGGAGGCAACACUGAUGGAAUUCCAGGAGUUGAGUGUAACGUCUGUAGAUGGUCCACGUUUCGCAGAUGUACAGCUGGGUUGGGAGGACAAUACCUUUAUAAACAAACAUCCCUACAGAUGUCCCGAUCCUCAAACACACUCUGCUUCAUUUGUAAGAAUGCUGCAUUCACAAAGCUCAAGCGGUGUUAUAUUUCAGUGUCAAUGUUGACUUUUGUGGAUAGGUGGUUGCAGUCCACCUACAUUUGGAGAGUCACAUCAUGGUCACCUAUGAUAGAUCUGGACCAAACCUGGAACACAUACUCUUCAUGACCCAACUUAUACUGGCAAGGUUAAGGGGCAUGAUAUAGUAUGACAGGAGUUUAAAUCAAGCCACAUCCAGAGAUCUGUGUGUCUCACCCAUGACCAAAUGCGUUUCUCUCCUAAUCAAUCAGACAGUUCACUGUACUUGCCAGAUCGAAUCUCCCAAUGUCCUUACCUCUUUACUAUACAAACUGGGGGUUAUGGGAGUUACACUCCAACAAAAAGGUUGGCCUGCUUGAUCAGUUAGGUGCAGACCAUCAACUCCCACACACCCAGAUUUGGGGUUGAUGGGAAUAACAGCCAACCAGAUCUGAACCUGAUGAGACUGGCAGCCUGACCAAAUCUUGGCUGAUGGGAGUUGCAGCCCAUCAGAUGUACCACUUUGUAAAUGGUCCCAUUAGCUUAUUCUAAUACAACCAUUCAUAAAGUCCAAAACCAAACAAUUACUAAUCAACAGCAUUACAAAAUACCUAGCCUGAGCAAUGUCGGGUACCUAAGCUAAUAUUAAUAUAAAUUCCUGCCUGCAUGUAUACCUGAAUUCACACAUAGAGAGACAGAAAACCUAAGCUGCUAACUUUAAAGGUCAGCUCAUGUAAAUGAGAUACCACCAGCUGAAUUUUUUAUUUCAGAAGGGGCUGGUACGUAUGUAAAAACAUGCUGCCUAAAAGGAAUCCUUUUUAUACAUUUGUAACACUUAAAUACUCCAACGUGAACAUGUUAUGAUCCAUACAUAAGAAUCAAUAAUGUUUUCGUUCUGUCUAUCUGUCUUUUGAUACACAUAUAAAUAUGGAAAAAGAUGGACGAACAAUGUGAUGAGGUUGGCUGCAUAAAGUAUGGUAAAUAGGCAAGCGGUUGGAAACCUGAAAUAUGACUCUUUGUAUUUUCUUUAAUACCGUUAUAUGGCUUCUUGAAUGAGGAAUUAACUUAAUUCCCAAAUAAGGUCAACCCUGUGUCCAGGUCUGGAAGGAUGGGAACUGUAAUCACAAGCUUCUGGAACUCGACAGGUUCCACCACUCUCAUAUAGGGUGCAUCUACACCAGGCAUGGGCAAACUUCGACCCUCCAGGUGUUUUGGACUACAACUACUACAAUUCCUAACAGGCUACCAGCUGUUACGAAUUGUGGGAUUGAAGUCCAAAACACCUGGAGGGGUGAAGUUUGCCCAUGCCAGAUCUACACUGUAGAAUUAAUGCAGUUUGACACCAUGUUAACUGUCAUGGCUCAGUGUUAUGGAUGCUGGGAACUAUUGUUUGAUGAAGCACCAGCACUCUUUGGCUGAGAAGUCCAAAGAC
Long non-coding RNA from Anolis carolinensis (green anole), 5516 nucleotides. The record is from Ensembl. Lineage: Eukaryota; Metazoa; Chordata; Lepidosauria; Squamata; Anolidae.